Molecule: ribosomal RNA, 408 nt
Filed under: uncultured bacterium
Lineage: Bacteria
Description: partial 16S ribosomal RNA
Rfam family: Bacterial small subunit ribosomal RNA
Source: RNAcentral
GACGAACGCUGGCGGCGUGCUUAACACAUGCAAGUCGAACGAAGUGGCGAACGGGUGCGUAACGCGUAAUCAACCUGCCCUUCAGCGGGGGACAACAGUUGGAAACGACUGCUAAUACCGCAUACUGAAGGAGGGGAUUGCGUCUGAUUAGCUAGUUGGAGGGAUAACGGCCCACCAAGGCGAUGAUCAGUAGCAGGUCUGAGAGGAUGGACGGCAACAUGGGGACUGAGACACGGCCCAGACUCCUACGGGAGGCAGCAGUGGGGAAGCGUCCGCAAUGGACGAAAGACUGACGGAGUAACGCCGCGUGAGUGAUGACGGCCUUCGGGUUGUAAAGCUCUGUUAAUCGGGACGCGGUACCGGAAUAGAAAGCCACGGCUAACUACGUGCCAGCAGCCGCGGUAAUAC